CGAGCCUCAAACUCGGACCCUGACUCUCGGCCAUGCAUUCGAAUGCCUAUGCACGCGGGUGCAACUGAUUGCUCCGCUCGUCCCAUCGCGGUUCUUCCCCCGGCGUGGCGUGUUAUAGGGGCGCUGGAUAUUGAAUUCGCUGCGAAACUUAUGUUUGUUUUAUUCAUGCCCAGAAGGAGCGGGCUGACGGGACACCAAUGAUUAUGGGUUAUCGAUGCUGUUCGACGUCGCGAUCGUUUAUGGGUAUGCAAAAAACCCUGCGAUAUUGGCCCAGAGGAAAAAUCCGGUGUUUGACGAGACGAGCGGUACGGGAGAGGAGAGGCAAAAG
This is a long non-coding RNA of Apis florea (little honeybee), 328 nucleotides long. The record is from RefSeq and is a predicted model, not a curated record. NCBI's taxonomy places the organism in Eukaryota, Metazoa, Arthropoda, Insecta, Hymenoptera, Apidae.